RNAcentral lists this ribosomal RNA (492 nucleotides) under uncultured bacterium. RNAcentral describes it as "partial 16S ribosomal RNA". It matches the Rfam family "Bacterial small subunit ribosomal RNA", at positions 29 to 507 of the family's 1533-position model. The record is from RNAcentral.
AGUGAACGCUGGCGGUAGGCCUAACACAUGCAAGUCGAACGGCAGCACAGUAAGAGCUUCCUCUUACGGGUGGCGAGUGGCGGACGGGUGAGGAAUACAUCGGAAUCUACUUUUUCGUGGGGGAUAACGUAGGGAAACUUACGCUAAUACCGCAUACGACCUACGGGUGAAAGCAGGGGAUCUUCGGACCUUGCGCGAUUGAAUGAGCCGAUGUCGGAUUAGCUAGUUGGCGGGGUAAAGGCCCACCAAGGCGACGAUCCGUAGCUGGUCUGAGAGGAUGAUCGGCCACACUGGAACUGAGACACGGUCCAGACUCCUACGGGAGGCAGCAGUGGGGAAUAUUGGACAAUGGGCGCAAGCCUGAUCCAGCCAUACCGCGUGGGUGAAGAAGGCCUUCGGGUUGUAAAGCCCUUUUGUUGGGAAAGAAAAGCAGCAGGUUAAUACCCCGCUGUUCUGACGGUACCCAAAGAAUAAGCACCGGCUAACUUCGUG